GAGGUUGUGGCUCAGUCGUAGAGUGCUUGUCUAACAUAUGUGAGGCACUGGGUUCAAUCCUCAGCACCACA
This 71-nucleotide transfer RNA is filed under the name Marmota monax (woodchuck). Its description in RNAcentral is "tRNA.Val". The record is from RNAcentral. Lineage: Eukaryota; Metazoa; Chordata; Mammalia; Rodentia; Sciuridae.